RNAcentral lists this transfer RNA (73 nucleotides) under Deltaproteobacteria bacterium. RNAcentral describes it as "tRNA-Ala". It matches the Rfam family "tRNA". Rfam says of the family: Transfer RNA (tRNA) molecules are approximately 80 nucleotides in length. Their secondary structure includes four short double-helical elements and three loops (D, anti-codon, and T loops). Lineage: Bacteria; Pseudomonadati; Myxococcota; Myxococcia. The record is from RNAcentral.
GGGGCUGUAGCUCAGCUGGGAGAGCGCGUCGUUCGCAAUGACGAGGCCACCGGUUCGAUCCCGGUCAGCUCCA